UACGUAGGGUGCAAGCGUUGUCCGGAAUUAUUGGGCGUAAAGAGCUCGUAGGCGGUUUGUCGCGUCUGGUGUGAAAAUCCAGGGCUUAACCCUGGACCUGCAUCGGGUACGGGCAGACUAGAGUGCGGUAGGGGAGAUCGGAAUUCCUGGUGUAGCGGUGAAAUGCGCAGAUAUCGGGAGGAACACCAGUGGCGAAGGCGGCGACCUGGACGGACACUGACGCUGAGACGCGAAAGCGUGGGGAGCAAACAGG
RNAcentral lists this ribosomal RNA (253 nucleotides) under uncultured bacterium. RNAcentral describes it as "partial 16S ribosomal RNA". It matches the Rfam family "Bacterial small subunit ribosomal RNA", at positions 524 to 776 of the family's 1533-position model. The record is from RNAcentral.